Molecule: ribosomal RNA, 497 nt
Filed under: uncultured bacterium
Lineage: Bacteria
Description: partial 16S ribosomal RNA
Rfam family: Bacterial small subunit ribosomal RNA
Source: RNAcentral
GAUGAACGCUGGCGGCGUGCCUAAUACAUGCAAGUCGAGCGCACCCAUGGGGAGCUUGCUCCUAUGACGUUAGCGGCGGACGGGUGAGUAACACGUGGAUAACAUACCUAUAAGAAUGGGAUAACUUUGGCAAACAGGCGCUAAUACCGGAUAAUAUAUUGAAACGCAUGGUUCACUCGUGAAAGAAGGUUUUGCUGUCACUAAUAGAUGACUCCGCGCCGCAUUAGCUAGUGGGUAGGGUAGCGGGUUAGCAAGGCAACGAGGCGUAUCCGACCUCAGCGGGUGAAUGGCUAGACGGUAACAGAGAAACGUCCGAGACUCUGAGAGUGAGCAGCAGCACAGAAUCCUCCGCAAGGGAGGAGAGCCUAACCGUGCAACACCGCGUGAAUGAUGAAGGACCCCGGACGGGAAAGCGCUGUAAUUAUUAAAGAUCAAAAGCGUAAUCAGCUAUGCACAUCUUGACGGUACCAGCACAAAAAGCCACGGCUAACUACGUG